AUCGAACGCUGGCGGCGUGGCUAAAACAUGCAAGUCGAACGCGAAAGUUCCCUUCGGGGAGCGAGUAGAGUGGCGCAAGGGCGAGUAAUGCAUGGGUAACGUACCCCGGACACCGGGAUAGCUGUGGGAAACCACAGGUAAUACCGGAUAAGACCACAGUGUCACAUGGCACGGCGGUCAAAGGGCGGGGACCUCUUCGGAGGCCUGUCGGUUCGGGAGCGGCCCAUGUCUCAUCAGCUAGUUGGUAGGGUAACGGCCUACCAAGGCUACGACGAGUACCGGGGCUGAGAGGUUGACCCGGCGCAUUGGGACUGAGACACUGCCCAGACUCCUACGGGAGGCUGCAGUAACGAAUAUUCCGCAAUGGGCGAAAGCCUGACGGAGCGACGCCGCGUGUGGGAGUAAGCUCUUCGGAGUGUAAACCACUGUCAGGGAUUACCAAGCAAAGGCGGCUAAUAUCUGCCGGCGC
Molecule: ribosomal RNA, 469 nt
Filed under: uncultured bacterium
Lineage: Bacteria
Description: bacterial SSU rRNA
Rfam family: Bacterial small subunit ribosomal RNA
Source: RNAcentral